Molecule: ribosomal RNA, 406 nt
Filed under: uncultured bacterium
Lineage: Bacteria
Description: partial 16S ribosomal RNA
Rfam family: Bacterial small subunit ribosomal RNA
Source: RNAcentral
AUUGAACGCUGGCGGCAGGCCUAACACAUGCAAGUCGAGCGCGCGGCGCACGGGUGUGAAAUGUCUGGGAAACUGCCUGAUGGUGGGGUAUAACUACUGGAAACGGUAUCUAAUACCGUAUACCAUCAGAUGUGCCCAGAUGGGAUUCGCUAGUAGGUGGGGUAAUGUCCCCCCUAGGCGACGAUCCCUAGCUGGUCUGAGAGGAUGACCAGCCACACUGGAACUGAGACACGGUCCAGACUCCUACGGGAGGCAGCAGUGGGGAAUAUUGCACAAUGGGCGCAAGCCUGAUGCAGCCAUGCCGCGUGUGUGAAGAAGGCCUUCGGGUUGUAAAGCACUUUCAGCGGGGAGGCGUUACUCGCAGAAGAAGCACCGGCUAACUCCGUGCCAGCCGCCGCGGUAAUAC